UCAGGACUAGUCGGGAUAGCUCAGUUGGUAG
RNAcentral lists this transfer RNA (31 nucleotides) under Gerbera cordata. RNAcentral's name for it is "partial tRNA-Phe". Lineage: Eukaryota; Viridiplantae; Streptophyta; Magnoliopsida; Asterales; Asteraceae. The record is from RNAcentral.